CGGCGGACGGGUGAGUAAUGCCUAGGAAUCUGCCUGGUAGUGGGGGACAACGUUUCGAAAGGAACGCUAAUACCGCAUACGUCCUACGGGAGAAAGCAGGGACCUUCGGGCCUUGCGCUAUCAGAUGAGCCUAGGUCGGAUUAGCUAGUUGGUGAGGUAAUGGCUCACCAAGGCGACGAUCCGUAACUGGUCUGAGAGGAUGAUCAGUCACACUGGAACUGAGACACGGUCCAGACUCCUACGGGAGGCAGCAGGC
RNAcentral lists this ribosomal RNA (256 nucleotides) under uncultured Pseudomonas sp. RNAcentral's name for it is "partial 16S ribosomal RNA". It matches the Rfam family "Bacterial small subunit ribosomal RNA", at positions 96 to 354 of the family's 1533-position model. The record is from RNAcentral. Lineage: Bacteria; Pseudomonadati; Pseudomonadota; Gammaproteobacteria; Pseudomonadales; Pseudomonadaceae.